RNAcentral lists this ribosomal RNA (306 nucleotides) under Mactra antiquata. RNAcentral describes it as "partial 16S ribosomal RNA". It matches the Rfam family "Archaeal large subunit ribosomal RNA", at positions 2033 to 2588 of the family's 2987-position model. Lineage: Eukaryota; Metazoa; Mollusca; Bivalvia; Venerida; Mactridae. The record is from RNAcentral.
GCAGUCAAUUGUCCUUUAAUUGGGGAAAGGAAUGAAAGGGUUGACGAGGGGUGAGCUGUCUUUAUAGUAUAGUUUGAAGUUUUCUUUUACGUGAAAAGACUUAAAUUUAAAAAUAAGAAGAGAAGACCCCGGCGAGCUUGGUAAGGGUUAUUAAACUAAAAUAAUUAUUGAGGUUUGUUGGGGCAACGCAAAGGGAAAAUAACUCCUUUGAACGUAAUAAAGGUCCACUUAGAGUGAACAAAGCAAAAGCUACCGCGGGGAUAACAGCGCAAUUUUUUCAGAGAGUUCAUAUCGAAGAGAAUGUUU